CUCUCUCUCUCCACUCUCUCUCUCUCUCUCUCUCUCUCUCUCUCUCUCUCUCUCUCUCUCCAAAGUGCUCAGCAUCUUCGUCAGCGCCGUCCACAAUGCCAUCUCCCCAUGUCGUCAUUGCUGACAUCACCGUCGUCGAGCUUCUGGGCUUCGGGUCGUUUGUCGACCAUGCCGCGGACGUCUUCGUCGGACGAGCGGGGCUGCGGCGGCGCCCGAUCCAAGCUGAUAGUUAAUGACAAAGGAGGCGAUGCGGGGGAGAGAUCGGAGAUUUUGGAGAUGAACUUGGAGUGUCGCCGCCGGCAUAUUAGAGGAGGCCGAAGGGUGGGCGGGGGUGGAAGGCGCCGUUGAAGAAGCAGAUGAGCUUGAGGUGGGUGUGGUGGUUGGUGGUGUGCCUAUUGGGCUGAGCGUGGUGGUGGUUGCGGCGAGAAAGAGAAAGAGGUGGCAGAGAGAGAGAGAGAGAGAGAGAGAGAGGGAGAUCACCGUUCGUGUAAUAUCUAAUGGUUGGUUUUAAAAGUCCUUAACCGGUCUGCAACUAUGCGGUCCGCAGUAGAAGGGGCUUCAUCGAUAUAGAUCUACAGUUUUGUAUGCAAAAAGUUAUGCAUGCGAGUACAAGUGAGAGACGCCCGUGAAAUAUUACUUGCUACUAUUUUAAUUUUAAGGACCUAUUUUAUUAUAUAUAUAUAUAUAUAUUAUUUUUUUUGAAUAUAAAGACUAAACAACAGCUCUCACGUCAUAACUAUUAAUGAAACCUCAGAAUAUAAAAAAGGAAACGUUGUGCCUAAAUCCC
This 787-nucleotide long non-coding RNA is filed under the name Fragaria vesca (wild strawberry). RNAcentral describes it as "long non-coding RNA (FVES_LNC000136)". Lineage: Eukaryota; Viridiplantae; Streptophyta; Magnoliopsida; Rosales; Rosaceae. The record is from RNAcentral.